UGACCUCCACCUUAUCCUUCCAUCCUUCCAAGCCCAUACAGGCCCAACUAGUCCAUCUUCCUGAUCGGCCGAUUUCUUAUCGGCAAAGGAUUGCCGAUUGGGAAUCCGGCGCAUUCACCCUGAAGCGAAGUAAAAGCUGCCGGCCGAUUCCGCAUUAUAGCACCAUUUGACCGAUUCCCAACUGUACUUCUUCGACUUCCUUUCUUCUUGGCGCCGAUUCUACUGAUGACGAAAUCC
Molecule: long non-coding RNA, 237 nt
Filed under: Setaria italica (foxtail millet)
Lineage: Eukaryota; Viridiplantae; Streptophyta; Magnoliopsida; Poales; Poaceae
Description: long non-coding RNA (SITA_LNC003626)
Source: RNAcentral